This is a long non-coding RNA of Siniperca chuatsi (mandarin fish), 2818 nucleotides long. RefSeq lists it as uncharacterized. The transcript has 3 exons. NCBI's taxonomy places the organism in Eukaryota, Metazoa, Chordata, Actinopteri, Centrarchiformes, Sinipercidae. The record is from RefSeq and is a predicted model, not a curated record.
UUUCUAUAAAUGUUACAGCCACUGUUAUGCCUCAAUCAACUGCCAGAGCUUAGCUUAUAUUCAGCUCUCAUGUCCUUUGGGAAUAGUAUCAGUUUUGCUGACAUGUCAAUUUGCAUCCCCUCAAACAACCUGUGCCUAAUGGGCAUGUGCACUGUAAAACGAUAUGUUAUGUGGAGAUUUACCAGGUACGGACGAGGGAAUUAGCAAAGACAAACUACUGUAUCCGUGGUUGGUUGGACAGCAAAACAUUUCUCUCAGUGUCUUAAUUGGAAACAAAUGUAAAGAUGGAUGGAAAAUCUCAUUAUUAUUGGAGAGAAUCCUUUUCUGAACGACAAGGGAUAAUAAAGAUAAAGAUGAGAAACCUUGAUUAUAUAAAGCUUAUAGACAAACCCACUUGAUCCAUCAUCUUGGUUAGGUUCCUGGCUUCAAUUAUGGAGAGUUGUCUUCCUCUUAUGCACAUUUAUAUGCUUUUUUUGGGGGUGCAUACAGUAUGUUGUAGAUAGUUUACAACAUACUGUGAUAAAACAAAUGCUUUGGGAUGUUUCAAGUGAGGCCUACAGUAUUACACAAGUUUAUGAAACAUCUUUGCAUUAAAUAUUUAAAUUGCAGGUAAGCUACGAUCUCAUAUUAUCCACUCACUGUGUUCUUCAGCCACAAACCCACCCACUGCAGCCCUCACAUACCUUCCUCCCAGACUGAGCUGGAGCUCAUGAGGCCUCAGACACACUUAAUGGGAUUAUGGUAAUAUAAUUUUGUGACGCUGACCUCGGGCUGGUGCCAGGUUUCUUCCACAUCCUCAGACAAAGGCAGGGAGCUCACCAAGGGUUCCAGCAGGCUGGCCCAGCUCGGCCUCUUGGCACAGGCCGAUGUCCUCAUGGGGCCAGCGCAAGAUGGAUGGCUGCGGGGCAAAGUCUCACUUCCUAAGUCUACUCAAACAGUGAGCAAAAUCAAAAGGUGAUGAGAGAGGAUUGUAAACUUAAAUAAAUAUCAUUUCCCAAGAGUGAGUUGACUCCUAUGACUGUUGUUCAUGUGACUCUUCUGAUUUAAUGUAUGCAAUAAUCAAUCCGGUUCAGGAUGUAGGAAACGUGCCCUCCCUUUGCUCCUAACUUGAAUCAGUGCAUAGUAGUUUUUCGGUUGAUGGUGUAGCUUCCAUGGAUUGUGGUCAAUUUAUCUUUCUCAGUGACUUAGCAGGGUUUUCCUCCACUGGAUGUUUCUUAUUGGUUUAAGAAAGAAAGUUUUUAUGUAAAUUUUUUCCCUUGAUUAGACCAUUUUAGAAACAGUUUUCCUUGAAAUACCGUAACAGGCAAAUGGCAUACAUAUACACAUACACACCGGACAGUCCAUCAGUGUAGGCAGAAUAAACUUGCAAUAUGUUGGAGUGCUGUUUGAUUCUUCAUCUUGUUUUGUCUCAUUUUACUUUGUUGUGUAUUUUAUUGUUGUCCAGUCUCCACGGGUGUAUCACCAGAUUUUUCCCCCCUUCUCCUUUUCUUUUCCUCUUCCUUUUGCCUUCAAAAAGACCACCCAUAGGGUUCGGAGGGGGCAGACGUCUCUGUGGAAUAAUAAUGGGGUCGUCCUGGGAAAAUUGCCCAUGGAAAGGCCUGGCUGAAAAAAAAAAGAAAGAAAAAUUUGGUCUUGUUUCCGAUCCUUCUCUGAAACAUUCAUCAGGGCACUCCUGCUGUUUGGAGGGGAGCAGUCCUAUCGCAGCCCCAAUCCACUCACUGGCUGGGUCACUCUGCUACUACCAAGACUUUCUGAGCCGAGGGAAAGCCUCAAUCCUGAUGUCAUUUCUGAUGGGGUGCUACUCUGUGACAACACCACAUGACACACUAUUCUGAUGAAAUAGGCUGAAAGUGGCCAUCGUCAAUCCACGUUUUUUAUUGAGGGCAGAGUAACAAGGCCCUGAGGCCCUGCUGCCUCACUCCAGGUCUGAGCCACUGGAGAUCCAGUGAUGGAUGUGCCUCGGGGGCUCUCUGUGGGAGGUGGGCUCAAGGCUUCACACACUCUGCCUGCUCCUCACUGUCAGAGGGGAAGAUGUCAUCCUUCAUAUUUAGCCAGAGACAGCAGAGUCAAGCCUGCAGUAGGAUCACUGUCUUGACAUCAACACAACAAGCCUUAAGUCAUUGCAUAUUGAUAUGUUUUAUUUUUUAUUUUUGCCAGUUUAUAUAACACAAUACUGUUUUAAUCAGCAGAUAGUUCCUGAAAGUAGCAUCACGAGAAACGGCAGCAGUUUGAAGCAAAGUUACAGAAGAAGAAGUGGGAGCAGAGAUAACAAACAUGUCUGAAAAGACAAAGAUGAGCAUAAUUAACACCUUUCCCUUUACAAUGCAGGGAAAAAUACACUGAAAAGACAAUUUUAUUGUUUUAACUGCACCACAUCAGUGAUUUGAAACAAUAAAAUUAAAUUGUGGAUACAAAGUUUAAAUCACAAUUUUAACUGUAGAUCUAUUCUUACUGAUACAUGUCAUUAGUCUGUUAUUGUCUGUGAAUUCCUUGAGGUAUUGUGUGUUGAAAUAGUGUAAUUUCCCUUUCAGCUGCACCCACAUUCCCACAGCUUAGUUACUGUUUUCCACUUCCAUCAAACCCCAGAGCAUGUGAGUGAACUUCAAGUUGGCAUCUUAUGGUUUUAUUAUUAUAUUGAUAUGAUGGCAAACAAAAGCAAUGUUAAACACAUGUUACUUUUAGCAUUUUGUAACCCUAAAUAUAUAGUGAAAGUUUGUUUUAAACUUAAACCUACACAAACCCUAAUGUUAAACAGUCAUUUCAAAAUGUAAAUGUGCACUUUUAGUUACUAACACCGUAUGCUAACUAGCCAGUUAAC